RNAcentral lists this transfer RNA (72 nucleotides) under Ixodes scapularis (black-legged tick). Its description in RNAcentral is "tRNA-Ser". The record is from RNAcentral. Lineage: Eukaryota; Metazoa; Arthropoda; Arachnida; Ixodida; Ixodidae.
UCCUGGUUAGCUCACUUGGCAGAGCGCACACUGGAAAUGGAGAGGUCCCUGGUUCGGUACCAAGACCAGGGG